Molecule: ribosomal RNA, 581 nt
Filed under: Priestia aryabhattai
Lineage: Bacteria; Bacillati; Bacillota; Bacilli; Caryophanales; Bacillaceae
Description: bacterial SSU rRNA
Rfam family: Bacterial small subunit ribosomal RNA
Source: RNAcentral
UAGUCCACGCCGUAAACGAUGAGUGCUAAGUGUUAGAGGGUUUCCGCCCUUUAGUGCUGCAGCUAACGCAUUAAGCACUCCGCCUGGGGAGUACGGUCGCAAGACUGAAACUCAAAGGAAUUGACGGGGGCCCGCACAAGCGGUGGAGCAUGUGGUUUAAUUCGAAGCAACGCGAAGAACCUUACCAGGUCUUGACAUCCUCUGACAACUCUAGAGAUAGAGCGUUCCCCUUCGGGGGACAGAGUGACAGGUGGUGCAUGGUUGUCGUCAGCUCGUGUCGUGAGAUGUUGGGUUAAGUCCCGCAACGAGCGCAACCCUUGAUUUUAGUUGCCAGCAUUUAGUUGGGCACUCUAAGGUGACUGCCGGUGACAAACCGGAGGAAGGUGGGGAUGACGUCAAAUCAUCAUGCCCCUUAUGACCUGGGCUACACACGUGCUACAAUGGAUGGUACAAAGGGCUGCAAGACCGCGAGGUCAAGCCAAUCCCAUAAAACCAUUCUCAGUUCGGAUUGUAGGCUGCAACUCGCCUACAUGAAGCUGGAAUCGCUAGUAAUCGCGGAUCAGCAUGCCGCGGUGAAUACG